Molecule: ribosomal RNA, 253 nt
Filed under: uncultured bacterium
Lineage: Bacteria
Description: partial 16S ribosomal RNA
Rfam family: Bacterial small subunit ribosomal RNA
Source: RNAcentral
UACAGAGGUCUCAAGCGUUGUUCGGAUUCAUUGGGCGUAAAGGGUGCGUAGGUGGCGCCGUAAGUCAGGUGUGAAAUCUCGGGGCUCAACCCCGAAACUGCAUUCGAUACUGCGGUGCUUGAGGACUGGAGAGGAGACUGGAAUUCAUGGUGUAGCAGUGAAAUGCGUAGAGAUCAUGAGGAAGACCAGUGGCGAAGGCGGGUCUCUGGACAGUUCCUGACACUGAGACACGAAGGCCAGGGGAGCAAACGGG